RNAcentral lists this ribosomal RNA (734 nucleotides) under uncultured Frigoribacterium sp. RNAcentral describes it as "bacterial SSU rRNA". It matches the Rfam family "Bacterial small subunit ribosomal RNA", at positions 771 to 1501 of the family's 1533-position model. The record is from RNAcentral. Lineage: Bacteria; Bacillati; Actinomycetota; Actinomycetes; Micrococcales; Microbacteriaceae.
AACAGGAUUAGAUACCCUGGUAGUCCAUGCCGUAAACGUUGGGAACUAGAUGUGGGGACCAUUCCACGGUCUCCGUGUCGCAGCUAACGCAUUAAGUUCCCCGCCUGGGGAGUACGGCCGCAAGGCUAAAACUCAAAGGAAUUGACGGGGGCCCGCACAAGCGGCGGAGCAUGCGGAUUAAUUCGAUGCAACGCGAAGAACCUUACCAAGGCUUGACAUAUACCGGAAACGGCCAGAGAUGGUCGCCCCGCAAGGUCGGUAUACAGGUGGUGCAUGGUUGUCGUCAGCUCGUGUCGUGAGAUGUUGGGUUAAGUCCCGCAACGAGCGCAACCCUCGUUCUAUGUUGCCAGCACGUUAUGGUGGGAACUCAUAGGAGACUGCCGGGGUCAACUCGGAGGAAGGUGGGGAUGACGUCAAAUCAUCAUGCCCCUUAUGUCUUGGGCUUCACGCAUGCUACAAUGGCCGGUACAAAGGGCUGCGAUACCGUAAGGUGGAGCGAAUCCCAAAAAGCCGGUCUCAGUUCGGAUUGAGGUCUGCAACUCGACCUCAUGAAGUCGGAGUCGCUAGUAAUCGCAGAUCAGCAACGCUGCGGUGAAUACGUUCCCGGGCCUUGUACACACCGCCCGUCAAGUCAUGAAAGUCGGUAACACCCGAAGCCAGUGGCCUAACCCCUUGUGGGAUGGAGCUGUCGAAGGUGGGAUCGGUGAUUAGGACUAAGUCGUAACAAGGUAACC